RNAcentral lists this ribosomal RNA (465 nucleotides) under Vreelandella stevensii. RNAcentral's name for it is "partial 16S ribosomal RNA". It matches the Rfam family "Bacterial small subunit ribosomal RNA", at positions 338 to 795 of the family's 1533-position model. The record is from RNAcentral. Lineage: Bacteria; Pseudomonadati; Pseudomonadota; Gammaproteobacteria; Oceanospirillales; Halomonadaceae.
CCUACGGGCGGCAGCAGUGGGGAAUAUUGGACAAUGGGGGCAACCCUGAUCCAGCCAUGCCGCGUGUGUGAAGAAGGCCCUCGGGUUGUAAAGCACUUUCAGUGGGGAAGAACGCCUGGUGGUUAAUACCCAUCAGGAAAGACAUCACUCACAGAAGAAGCACCGGCUAACUCCGUGCCAGCAGCCGCGGUAAUACGGAGGGUGCGAGCGUUAAUCGGAAUUACUGGGCGUAAAGCGCGCGUAGGUGGCUUGAUAAGCCGGUUGUGAAAGCCCCGGGCUCAACCUGGGAACGGCAUCCGGAACUGUCAAGCUAGAGUGCAGGAGAGGAAGGUAGAAUUCCCGGUGUAGCGGUGAAAUGCGUAGAGAUCGGGAGGAAUACCAGUGGCGAAGGCGGCCUUCUGGACUGACACUGACACUGAGGUGCGAAAGCGUGGGUAGCAAACAGGAUUAGAUACCCGUGUAGUC